UACGAAGGUGGCAAGCGUUGUUCGGAUUCACUGGGCGUACAGGUGUGUAGGCGGUUUGGUAAGCCUCUGUUAAAGCUUCGGCCCAACCCGGAAAGCGCAGAGGUACUGCCAGGCUAGAGGACGGGAGAGGAGCGACGGAAUUCCCGGUGUAGCGGUAGAAAUGCGUAGAGAUCGGGAGGAAGGCCGGUGGCGAAGGCGGCGCUCUGGAACGUUACUGACGCUGAGACGACGAAAGCGUGGGGAGCAAAGCAGGAUUGAAGAU
This 262-nucleotide ribosomal RNA is filed under the name uncultured bacterium. RNAcentral describes it as "partial 16S ribosomal RNA". It matches the Rfam family "Bacterial small subunit ribosomal RNA", at positions 524 to 785 of the family's 1533-position model. The record is from RNAcentral.